AUAUUACUCCCUCCGUCCCAAAAUUUUUGUCUUCGAUUUAUCUAGAUACGGAUGUAUCUAAUACUAAAAUGUGAAUAGAUACAUCCGUAUGUAGACAAAUCUAAGACAAGAAUUUUGAAACUGAGGGAGUAGUAU
Non-coding RNA from Triticum aestivum (bread wheat), 135 nucleotides. Lineage: Eukaryota; Viridiplantae; Streptophyta; Magnoliopsida; Poales; Poaceae. The record is from Rfam.